CGCCCGGCCGGAUCCCGUGGGGGGAAUCCGCACCGGGACAUGGGAAGG
This 48-nucleotide non-coding RNA is filed under the name Streptomyces ipomoeae 91-03. Its description in RNAcentral is "Streptomyces RNA 2736". It matches the Rfam family "Streptomyces RNA 2736", at positions 1 to 48 of the family's 64-position model. Rfam says of the family: Identified by deep sequencing of transcriptome at the end of exponential growth phase. Lineage: Bacteria; Bacillati; Actinomycetota; Actinomycetes; Kitasatosporales; Streptomycetaceae. The record is from Rfam by way of RNAcentral.